RNAcentral lists this transfer RNA (86 nucleotides) under marine eukaryotic metagenome. It matches the Rfam family "tRNA". From Rfam's summary of the family: Transfer RNA (tRNA) molecules are approximately 80 nucleotides in length. The record is from RNAcentral.
GAGAGGUGGCAGAGCGGUCGAAUGCGGCGGUCUUGAAAACCGUUGACGGGUAAUCCUCGUCCGGGGGUUCGAAUCCCUCCCUCUCC